ACUCUCAGAAUCCAUCUGCACAAGCCCAGCCAAUACAGGAGGAAUAAAAAGGAGAGCUGCGGCUCUGCUUGCUAUCUGGUCCUUCCCAUUCCUGUAGGCUGGGUCUGCCUUACUCCACAUCUCACACCACUUAGGGCUUCUCUUUCAGAAGGAGAAGUCAGCCUCCUGAAGGUCAUUGCACUAUCUGAGCCGCAGAGCCUGGCUGGCAGCCUCCCCAAGACGUGGAAUGGCAGUUGCCUAGCAUGUCCUAUUGGGAGCACUCAUGACCUAAGGAGUGUGAAGGAGGCUUCGAAAGGAAACUGACGUGGGGCAGGUGGUCACUGUUUUGACCAACUGUGCUGGAUGCCAGCAGUGCUGAUGACCCCUUCCUAUGCCAUGGUCUGCAGUAAGAAGAAGACUGUGGGGCUCUGGGAUAUCAGAGAAUAAAUGGUACAGCUUUGCAGCCCA
Long non-coding RNA from Tympanuchus pallidicinctus (lesser prairie-chicken), 447 nucleotides. RefSeq lists it as uncharacterized. The transcript is spliced from 3 exons. Lineage: Eukaryota; Metazoa; Chordata; Aves; Galliformes; Phasianidae. The record is from RefSeq and is a predicted model, not a curated record.